RNAcentral lists this ribosomal RNA (469 nucleotides) under uncultured bacterium. Its description in RNAcentral is "partial 16S ribosomal RNA". It matches the Rfam family "Bacterial small subunit ribosomal RNA", at positions 28 to 507 of the family's 1533-position model. The record is from RNAcentral.
GACGAACGCUGGCGGCGUGCUUAACACAUGCAAGUCGAACGGAAAGGCCCUUCUUUUGUGGGGUGCUCGAGUGGCGAACGGGUGAGUAACACGUGAGUAACCUUCCCUUUACUUUUGGAUAACUUCAGGAAACUGGGGCUCAUACCGGAUAGGAGCUCCUGCUGCAUGGUGGGGGUUGGAAAGUUUCGUCGGGGUGGGAUGGACUCGGGGCUUAUCAGCUUGUUGGUGGGGUAGUGGCUUAGCAAGGCUGUGACGGGUAGCCGGCCUGGGAGGGUGACCGGCGACAAUGGGACUGAGAGACGGCCCAGACUGCUACGGGAGGCAGCAGUGGGGAAUAGUGCACAAUGGGCGGAAGCCUGAGGCAGCAACGCCGCGGGCGGGAUGAAGGCCUUAGGGUUGUAAACCGCUUACAGCAGGGGCGAAGCGUGUGGUGACGGUACCUGCAGAAGAAGAACCGGCUAACUACGUG